RNAcentral lists this ribosomal RNA (1635 nucleotides) under Salmonella enterica. Its description in RNAcentral is "partial 23S ribosomal RNA". It matches the Rfam family "Bacterial large subunit ribosomal RNA", at positions 1 to 1669 of the family's 2925-position model. The record is from RNAcentral. Lineage: Bacteria; Pseudomonadati; Pseudomonadota; Gammaproteobacteria; Enterobacterales; Enterobacteriaceae.
GGGUUGUGAGGUUAAGCGACUAAGCGUACACGGUGGAUGCCCUGGCAGUCAGAGGCGAUGAAGGGCGUGCUAAUCUGCGAUAAGCGCCGGUAAGGUGAUAUGAACCGUUAUAACCGGCGAUACCCGAAUGGGGAAACCCAGUGUGAUUCGUCACACUAUCAUUAACUGAAUCCAUAGGUUAAUGAGGCGAACCGGGGGAACUGAAACAUCUAAGUACCCCGAGGAAAAGAAAUCAACCGAGAUUCCCCCAGUAGCGGCGAGCGAACGGGGAGGAGCCCAGAGCCUGAAUCAGCAUGUGUGUUAGUGGAAGCGUCUGGAAAGGCGCGCGAUACAGGGUGACAGCCCCGUACACAAAAGCGCAUGUGCUGUGAGCUCGAUGAGUAGGGCGGGACACGUGGUAUCCUGUCUGAAUAUGGGGGGACCAUCCUCCAAGGCUAAAUACUCCUGACUGACCGAUAGUGAACCAGUACCGUGAGGGAAAGGCGAAAAGAACCCCGGCGAGGGGAGUGAAAAAGAACCUGAAACCGUGUACGUACAAGCAGUGGGAGCACCCUUUGGGUGUGACUGCGUACCUUUUGUAUAAUGGGUCAGCGACUUAUAUUCUGUAGCAAGGUUAACCGAAUAGGGGAGCCGGAGGGAAACCGAGUCUUAACCGGGCGUUAAGUUGCAGGGUAUAGACCCGAAACCCGGUGAUCUAGCCAUGGGCAGGUUGAAGGUUGGGUAACACUAACUGGAGGACCGAACCGACUAAUGUUGAAAAAUUAGCGGAUGACCUGUGGCUGGGGGUGAAAGGCCAAUCAAACCGGGAGAUAGCUGGUUCUCCCCGAAAGCUAUUUAGGUAGCGCCUCGUGAAUUCAUCUCCGGGGGUAGAGCACUGUUUCGGCUAGGGGGCCAUCCCGGCUUACCAACCCGAUGCAAACUGCGAAUACCGGAGAAUGUUAUCACGGGAGACACACGGCGGGUGCUAACGUCCGUCGUGAAGAGGGAAACAACCCAGACCGCCAGCUAAGGUCCCAAAGUCAUGGUUAAGUGGGAAACGAUGUGGGAAGGCCCAGACAGCCAGGAUGUUGGCUUAGAAGCAGCCAUCAUUUAAAGAAAGCGUAAUAGCUCACUGGUCGAGUCGGCCUGCGCGGAAGAUGUAACGGGGCUAAACCAUGCACCGAAGCUGCGGCAGCGACACUGUGUGUUGUUGGGUAGGGGAGCGUUCUGUAAGCCUGUGAAGGUGUGUCGUGAGGCAUGCUGGAGGUAUCAGAAGUGCGAAUGCUGACAUAAGUAACGAUAAAGCGGGUGAAAAGCCCGCUCGCCGGAAGACCAAGGGUUCCUGUCCAACGUUAAUCGGGGCAGGGUGAGUCGACCCCUAAGGCGAGGCCGAAAGGCGUAGUCGAUGGGAAACGGGUUAAUAUUCCCGUACUUGGUGUUACUGCGAAGGGGGGACGGAGAAGGCUAUGUUGGCCGGGCGACGGUUGUCCCGGUUUAAGCGUGUAGGUGUGUGUUCCAGGUAAAUCCGGUUCACUUUAACACUGAGGCGUGACGACGAGGCACUACGGUGCUGAAGCAACAAAUGCCCUGCUUCCAGGAAAAGCCUCUAAGCAUCAGGUAACAUCAAAUCGUACCCCAAACCGACACAGGUGGUCA